RNAcentral lists this ribosomal RNA (500 nucleotides) under Bacillus sp. (in: firmicutes). RNAcentral's name for it is "bacterial SSU rRNA". It matches the Rfam family "Bacterial small subunit ribosomal RNA", at positions 85 to 571 of the family's 1533-position model. Lineage: Bacteria; Bacillati; Bacillota; Bacilli; Caryophanales; Bacillaceae. The record is from RNAcentral.
UAUGACGUUAGCGGCGGACGGGUGAGUAACACGUGGGCAACCUGCCUGUAAGACUGGGAUAACUUCGGGAAACCGAAGCUAAUACCGGAUAGGAUCUUCUCCUUCAUGGGAGAUGAUUGAAAGAUGGUUUCGGCUAUCACUUACAGAUGGGCCCGCGGUGCAUUAGCUAGUUGGUGAGGUAACGGCUCACCAAGGCAACGAUGCAUAGCCGACCUGAGAGGGUGAUCGGCCACACUGGGACUGAGACACGGCCCAGACUCCUACGGGAGGCAGCAGUAGGGAAUCUUCCGCAAUGGACGAAAGUCUGACGGAGCAACGCCGCGUGAGUGAUGAAGGCUUUCGGGUCGUAAAACUCUGUUGUUAGGGAAGAACAAGUACGAGAGUAACUGCUCGUACCUUGACGGUACCUAACCAGAAAGCCACGGCUAACUACGUGCCAGCAGCCGCGGUAAUACGUAGGUGGCAAGCGUUAUCCGGAAUUAUUGGGCGUAAAGCGCGCG